GUGUCAGCAGCCGCGGUAAUACGUAGGGUGCGAGCGUUAAUCGGAAUUACUGGGCGUAAAGCGUGCGCAGGCGGUUAUUUAAGUCAGGUGUGAAAGCCCUGGGCUUAACCUAGGAAUUGCGCUUGAGACUGGAUAGCUUGGAGUGCGGCAGAGGGAGGUGGAAUUCCACGUGUAGCAGUGAAAUGCGUAGAGAUGUGGAGGAACACCGAUGGCGAAGGCAGCCUCCUGGGCCAGCACUGACGCUCAUGCACGAAAGCGUGGGGAGCAAACAGGAUUAGAAACCCCCGUAGUCC
This 293-nucleotide ribosomal RNA is filed under the name uncultured bacterium. RNAcentral describes it as "partial 16S ribosomal RNA". It matches the Rfam family "Bacterial small subunit ribosomal RNA", at positions 505 to 796 of the family's 1533-position model. The record is from RNAcentral.